Molecule: ribosomal RNA, 504 nt
Filed under: uncultured bacterium
Lineage: Bacteria
Description: partial 16S ribosomal RNA
Rfam family: Bacterial small subunit ribosomal RNA
Source: RNAcentral
AUUGAACGCUGGCGGCAGGCCUAACACAUGCAAGUCGAACGGUAGCACAGAGAGCUUGCUCUCGGGUGACGAGUGGCGGACGGGUGAGUAACGUCUGGGAAACUGCCCGAUGGAGGGGGAUAACUACUGGAAACGGUAGCUAAUACCGCAUAACGUCGCAAGACCAAAGUGGGGGACCUUCGGGCCUCACACCAUCGGAUGUGCCCAGAUGGGAUUAGCUAGUAGGUGGGGUAAUGGCUCACCUAGGCGACGAUCCCUAGCUGGUCUGAGAGGAUGACCAGCCACACUGGAACUGAGACACGGUCCAGACUCCUACGGGAGGCAGCAGUGGGGAAUAUUGCACAAUGGGCGCAAGCCUGAUGCAGCCAUGCCGCGUGUAUGAAGAGGGCCUUCGGGUUGUAAAGUACUUUCAGCGGGGAGGAAGGCGGUGAAGUUAAUAACUUCACCGAUUGACGUUACCCGCAGAAGAAGCACUGGCUAACUCCGUGCCAGCAGCCGCCGUAA